AGGUGACACGCGCGCCCCGGGAACUCUUCAAAACUCAGAGCCUCAGAGGUCGUCAGUUUGCGUCAAGACUUGGAUGAGUGUGGAUGUGUGCUGUCCGAGGUCCAGUGCGUGAAAGACCAGGACGUACAGUUGUUUUAUCAUUAUUUGGACGAAUAAAGGACUUUCACGUAUGAUAUAUUAGUUUUGUGAACAACGACAAGGGAGAGGACAAUUUACGAGCCAAGUCCACGUGGAGUUACAGGAGAAAGAAAUUGAGAACACUUGAAGUGGCGACUUUCCCAGCACCACAACAGCUCAGAGGUAAAUAAGACCAGACGGGUUGUGAUGCUCCGCAAGCACAGUGCAAGUGUUUAGGUAAGCAGGUCAAGUCAGAAGGAUCAGCAGAGGUCGCUGUGACGUACGUCGAAAAGGUGUAAAUGAGAAGGAAUCAUUACCAACCAUGUGAGAUGUGUAACUUUAGGUUCCCAUGUUCGUCAGAAUUGCGAAUCACGAUGAUG
Molecule: long non-coding RNA, 497 nt
Filed under: Penaeus japonicus
Lineage: Eukaryota; Metazoa; Arthropoda; Malacostraca; Decapoda; Penaeidae
Description: uncharacterized LOC122247495
Source: RNAcentral